RNAcentral lists this long non-coding RNA (466 nucleotides) under Trifolium pratense (red clover). Its description in RNAcentral is "long non-coding RNA (TPRA_LNC009694)". Lineage: Eukaryota; Viridiplantae; Streptophyta; Magnoliopsida; Fabales; Fabaceae. The record is from RNAcentral.
AAGCCAGAUAAAGCUACAUACCCUGUUGUAUUGGUAAAACAUUUCUGGCUCCAGCCAGAGAAAGCCAGAAGAGCUGGGAGGUGACUCAGAGGACACGUGUUAGCAAACCCAGCUUUGAAGUAAGGUGGCUGGCUGAGCCAGCUAUAGCUGGCUGGGCCAGCUUAAAAAUCUGUUUCACUAUAAAUAGACAUCAGAUGCAGAAAAAAGGAGAUACCAUUCCCACCACUCAAAUUCAUCAAGGAGAGACCUAGGAGGCAGAUUCAAGGGGUUUUGGAGGUGGAUACACAACAAUAGUUGAGGAAUCAUCAUUGUAAUGUUUGUUCAUCUCUUUUCUUCUUAAUCUUUUGUAAAGUUCUUAUGAAUAUGGGUAACUAAUUUCUCUUGUUGUUGGGAUUGAAUGUAAAUUACUCUAUUAGUAUGUGUUUUUCUUGAUCAUGGUGUUAUAUAUAUUCUAGUUACAAAUCAA